RNAcentral lists this ribosomal RNA (439 nucleotides) under uncultured bacterium. Its description in RNAcentral is "partial 16S ribosomal RNA". It matches the Rfam family "Bacterial small subunit ribosomal RNA", at positions 339 to 795 of the family's 1533-position model. The record is from RNAcentral.
CUACGGGUCGCUCCAGUGAGGAAUAUUGCACAAUGGGGGGAACCCUGAUGCAGCAACGCCGCGUGGAGGAUGACGCAUUUCGGUGUGUAAACUCCUCUUAUAUGUCAAGAAAAUGACGGUAGCAUAUGAAUAAGCACCGGCUAACUCCGUGCCAGCAGCCGCGGUAAUACGGAGGGUGCAAGCGUUACUCGGAAUCACUGGGGGUAAAGGACGCGUAGGCGGGUUGGAAAGUCAGGUGUGAAAUCCUACAGCUUAACUGUAGAACUGCACUUGAAACUUCUAAUCUAGAGUAUGGGAGGGGGAGAUGGAGUUAGUGGUGUAGGGGUAAAAUCCGUAGAUAUCACUAGGAAUACCUAAAGCGAAGGCGAUCUCCUGGAACAUUACUGACGCUAAGGCGUGAAAGCGUGGGGAGCAAACAGGAUUAGAUACCCGCGUAGUC